This is a long non-coding RNA of Zophobas morio, 355 nucleotides long. RefSeq lists it as uncharacterized. The record is from RefSeq and is a predicted model, not a curated record. NCBI's taxonomy places the organism in Eukaryota, Metazoa, Arthropoda, Insecta, Coleoptera, Tenebrionidae. The transcript has 4 exons.
GUGUAAAAUGUUUUUCUUAUUACUAAACCCCUUUGAUGAGUCUUUCUAUUUUACAACCCUAAUGCUGGCAUGGGAAAAGGUUGCUAGUUAUAAAAGACAAACAGUCAUGGUGCAAAUCAGUUGUAAAACGCGCUCGCUCAGCUUAUAUUGGGGUGUCCUUAAAAGUGGUGCUGAGAAAAACCAUUUCGUAAGUUGCUUUCCUGUUAUUAUAAAGUACAUUUCAUCUGUACUUGCGCUAAAUAUUAGGACGACGCAUUUGGUUAUUAGACCACCCAUUAAGUGUACCUAACAGGAAUUUAGGCUUAUAUUGAAAUUGCUUCCAAUAGUUUACGUGCCCGUAUAUGAAAUCUUGGUG